RNAcentral lists this ribosomal RNA (619 nucleotides) under uncultured bacterium. Its description in RNAcentral is "bacterial SSU rRNA". It matches the Rfam family "Bacterial small subunit ribosomal RNA", at positions 39 to 689 of the family's 1533-position model. The record is from RNAcentral.
GCGGCGUGCCUAACACAUGCAAGUCGAACGGGAAAACAGGGGCAACUCUGUGAGUACAGUGGCGUACGGGUGAGUAACACGUGACUACCUACCCUCGAGUGGGGGAUAACCCCGGGAAACCGGGGCUAAUACCGCAUAACAUCGCAAGAUCAAAGGAGCAAUUCGCUUGAGGAGGGGGUCGCGGCUGAUUAGCUAGUUGGUGAGGUAACGGCCCACCAAGGCGAUGAUCGGUAGCCGGCCUGAGAGGGCGCACGGCCACACUGGAACUGAAACACGGUCCAGACUCCUACGGGAGGCAGCAGUGGGGAAUUUUGCGCAAUGGGGGAAACCCUGACGCAGCAACGCCGCGUGGAGGAUGAAGUCCCUUGGGACGUAAACUCCUUUCGACCCGGACGAUAAUGACGGUACGGGUGGAAGAAGCACCGGCUAACUUCGUGCCAGCAGCCGCGGUAAUACGAGGGGUGCGAGCGUUGUUCGGAAUUAUUGGGCGUAAAGGGCGCGUGGGCGGUGCGGUAAGUCACCUGUGAAAUCUCCCGGCUCAACUGGGAGCUUGCAGGCGAAACUGCCGUGCUGGAGUGUGGGAAAGGUGCGUGGAAUUCCCGGUGUAGCGGUGAAAUGC